Theobroma cacao (cacao) is the source of this 544-nucleotide non-coding RNA. The record is from RefSeq and is a predicted model, not a curated record. NCBI's taxonomy places the organism in Eukaryota, Viridiplantae, Streptophyta, Magnoliopsida, Malvales, Malvaceae.
UGAGAGAGGAAGAAAGAAAUGAAAAGAAAAAGGGAGAAAAAAACCAUGGGAGAGGAAGAGAAAAAGGAACGAAAAUUAUGCUCUUUUCUUGGCACAGUUUUGUUGCACUUUGAGGGAGGAAAAGAAAGCUUUUUGUUGUAAUUUUUGGAGGAAGAAAAAGUUGAAAUUUUUUAGAUAAAUUGGAGCUGUUUGCUGCAGAAAAAUUGGAGUUGUUUGUGCAGAAAAAUUAGAGCUGUUCGUGCAAAAAAAUUGGAGCUGUUUGCUGCAGAAAAAUUAGAGCUGUUUGUUGCCAAUUUGUGCAGAAAAAUUGGAGUUGUUUGCUGCCAAUUUGUGCAAAAAAAUUGAACAGCAUUGUGCUGCCAAUUUGAGGGAGAAAAAGCAACUUGGUGCUGCCAAAUUUUUUAGGAAAAGAUAGCUGGAAGUGCUGCCAUCGAAGGAGGAAGAAAACGAGCCAAGGAAGAGAGGAAGCCACGGUGGUGAAGAGAGGAAGACAUGGUGGUGAAGGGAGUGACGGUGAAAGAGAGAAAAAGAAAGAAAAAGAAAA